This 483-nucleotide ribosomal RNA is filed under the name uncultured bacterium. RNAcentral describes it as "partial 16S ribosomal RNA". It matches the Rfam family "Bacterial small subunit ribosomal RNA", at positions 30 to 506 of the family's 1533-position model. The record is from RNAcentral.
AUUGAACGCUGGCGGCAGGCCUAACACAUGCAAGUCGAGCGGAUGAAGGGAGCUUGCUCCUGGAUUCAGCGGCGGACGGGUGAGUAAUGCCUAGGAAUCUGCCUGGUAUUGGGGGAUAACGUCCGGAAACGGGCGCUAAUACCGCAUACGUCCUGAGGGAGAAAGUGGGGGAUCUUCGGACCUCACGCUAUCAGAUGAGCCUAGGUCGGAUUAGCUAGUUGGUGGGGUAAAGGCCUACCAAGGCGACGAUCCGUAACUGGUCUGAGAGGAUGAUCAGUCACACUGGAACUGAGACACGGUCCAGACUCCUACGGGAGGCAGCAGUGGGGAAUAUUGGACAAUGGGCGAAAGCCUGAUCCAGCCAUGCCGCGUGUGUGAAGAAGGUCUUCGGAUUGUAAAGCACUUUAAGUUGGGAGGAAGGGCAGUAAGUUAAUACCUUGCUGUUUUGACGUUACCAACAGAAUAAGCACCGGCUAACUUCGU